UGCCUAAAACAUUACCUUCAAACUAAAAACAUUUUUAUAACCCUCUACCUUUAUCUGUAAAGAAUUUUAUAAAUUAAAAAUAGUAAGUAUUUCAUGUACCUUGCGCAUCAUGGUUUAACAAGUUACCAAAAAUCCAUUUUCCCCUCGAACUUAUUUUGAGCUAAAAGCCUUAUGUUAAUUUUAGAACCCACUCUAUACUGUUGCAAUACUAAGAGAAUAAAGGCUUUUAGAGGCUACAUACCAAUCGCAAAUAAAGAUAGCUAGUUUCUUGUGAAAUUAAUUUUAGUUACGGAAACUACAGACAUUACACAACUUAAAAUCAGUAGUUUUCUAAAAAAUAGUAGGUUAAUCUACUAUUUUACCUCUUACUCCCUCCUUUUAUUAUUAUAUUCUUAUAAGCUUCAAACCAGCUACUAAUAUAAAUCUCGUUCUAGACUUCUCAAAAAAAUCUCUUUUUCCAAAGUACCUGCCCAAACAAGAUAUUAUUUAUAUUUAAUAAAUUUCAAACACUGUAUAAAAUAAUUAUUAUCUCUUAUUUUCCUAAACUCCUUCAACUCUACUUAAAACCUCUUCUCUUUAAUUUUUCUUAAGGAACUCAGCAAUACGCGCUUUGCCUGUUUAUUAAAAACAUGGCCUCUUGUACCAAAUAAAAGGUCCAACCUGCCCAGUGAAUAUUUCAACGGCCGCGGUAGCCUGACCGUGCUAAGGUAGCAUAAUCAUUUGCCCUUUAAUUGGGGGCUAGUAUGAAUGGUUACACAAGAGCGCUCCUGUCUCAAGAAAACUGUCAAAAAUUAACCUUUAGGUGCAGAGGCCUAAAUUUAUGUAAAAGACAAAAAGACCCUAUUGAGCUUUAAUCUUUGUUCUUCUUUAACCUAGAAGCAAAAAUUUUUAUUGGGGCAAUAAAGGAGUAUACAUAGCCUCCUAUAUUUAUUCAUCGACUAACAUCUCCAAAAUGAGCCAUUCCGAAUUACUUAUGGAACUAGCUACCUUAGGGAUAACAGACUAAUCCCCUUCGAGAGUCCACAUUGACAAGGGGGCUUGGCACCUCGAUGUUGGCUUAAGAUAACCAUUAUUUAUUUGUCUCGAAGCAGAACUCUAAUAUGGUAGGUUUGUUCAACCUUUAAUAUCUUACAUGAGCUGAGUUUAGACCGACGUAAGUCAGGUCAGAUUCUAUCUUUACACAAAAAGUUUAUUGUUCGUACGAAAGGAUUUCAAUAAAAAAUUUAAUUUUCUCGCUUUUAACUUCUUGAUAUUGCGCCGGACUGAACGGAUA
RNAcentral lists this ribosomal RNA (1273 nucleotides) under Phascolosoma similis. RNAcentral describes it as "16S ribosomal RNA". The stretch from base 822 to 1181 matches the Rfam family "Archaeal large subunit ribosomal RNA", at positions 2149 to 2717 of the family's 2987-position model. Lineage: Eukaryota; Metazoa; Annelida; Sipuncula; Phascolosomatiformes; Phascolosomatidae. The record is from RNAcentral.